This 465-nucleotide ribosomal RNA is filed under the name Vreelandella stevensii. Its description in RNAcentral is "partial 16S ribosomal RNA". It matches the Rfam family "Bacterial small subunit ribosomal RNA", at positions 338 to 795 of the family's 1533-position model. The record is from RNAcentral. Lineage: Bacteria; Pseudomonadati; Pseudomonadota; Gammaproteobacteria; Oceanospirillales; Halomonadaceae.
CCUACGGGGGGCUGCAGUGGGGAAUAUUGGACAAUGGGCGAAAGCCUGAUCCAGCCAUGCCGCGUGUGUGAAGAAGGCCUUCGGGUUGUAAAGCACUUUCAGUGGGGAAGAAAGCCUUGGGGCUAAUACCCUCGAGGAAGGACAUCACCCACAGAAGAAGCACCGGCUAACUCCGUGCCAGCAGCCGCGGUAAUACGGAGGGUGCGAGCGUUAAUCGGAAUUACUGGGCGUAAAGCGCGCGUAGGCGGUCUGAUAAGCCGGUUGUGAAAGCCCCGGGCUCAACCUGGGAACGGCAUCCGGAACUGUCAGGCUAGAGUGCAUGAGAGGAAGGUAGAAUUCCCGGUGUAGCGGUGAAAUGCGUAGAGAUCGGGAGGAAUACCAGUGGCGAAGGCGGCCUUCUGGACUGACACUGACGCUGAGGUGCGAAAGCGUGGGUAGCAAACAGGAUUAGAUACCCGAGUAGUC